CCUACGGGUGGCAGCAGUGGGGAAUAUUGGACAAUGGGCGAAAGCCUGAUCCAGCCAUGCCGCGUGUGUGAAGAAGGCCUUCGGGUUGUAAAGCACUUUCAGUGGGGAAGAAAGCCUUGGGGCUAAUACCCUCGAGGAAGGACAUCACCCACAGAAGAAGCACCGGCUAACUCCGUGCCAGCAGCCGCGGUAAUACGGAGGGUGCGAGCGUUAAUCGGAAUUACUGGGCGUAAAGCGCGCGUAGGCGGUCUGAUAAGCCGGUUGUGAAAGCCCCGGGCUCAACCUGGGAACGGCAUCCGGAACUGUCAGGCUAGAGUGCAGGAGAGGAAGGGAGAAUUCCCGGUGUAGCGGUGAAAUGCGUAGAGGUCGGGAGGAAUACCAGUGGCGAAGGCGGCCUUCUGGACUGACACUGACGCUGAGGUGCGAAAGCGUGGGUAGCAAAUAGGAUUAGAUACCCUGGUAGUC
This 465-nucleotide ribosomal RNA is filed under the name Vreelandella stevensii. RNAcentral describes it as "partial 16S ribosomal RNA". It matches the Rfam family "Bacterial small subunit ribosomal RNA", at positions 338 to 795 of the family's 1533-position model. The record is from RNAcentral. Lineage: Bacteria; Pseudomonadati; Pseudomonadota; Gammaproteobacteria; Oceanospirillales; Halomonadaceae.